RNAcentral lists this ribosomal RNA (1566 nucleotides) under Triticum aestivum (bread wheat). RNAcentral's name for it is "partial small subunit ribosomal RNA". The record is from RNAcentral. Lineage: Eukaryota; Viridiplantae; Streptophyta; Magnoliopsida; Poales; Poaceae.
GCCAGCCAGCCAGCCAUCGAACCCCCCUCCUUCUCCUCUCCUCGCCGAACCCACCCCGGCGCUCGCUGUCCGAAAUCCCCACCAAUUCGGCACGCCGCACGUGUGCGUACGUAUAUAACACAUCGGUCGACCGAUCAAUGGCCCUGCUCAAGGCCGCGCGCGUCGCCGACGUCCCCACCCUCGACGUCGUCGUGCCGGACCACCUCACCGCCGCCGCGCGGGUCCUCGACGCGGAGUCGGUGGCGACGAUGAAGAGGCAGCAGCGCGGCGCGGGCCGGCGGUUCGCGGUGAUCGGGCACCGCGGCAAGGGGAUGAACGCGCUGGCGUCGCCGGACCGGCGGCUGCAGGAGGUGAAGGAGAACUCGGUCCGGUCGUUCAACGAGGCGGCGCGCUUCGCCGUCGACUACGUCGAGUUCGACGUCCAGGUCACCAAGGACGUCUGCCCAAUCAUCUUCCAUGACAACUUCAUCAUUACUGAGGAGCAUGGCAAAAUUUCAGAGAAGCGUGUCACUGAUCUUCAGUUGGAAGAUUUCCUCCAGUAUGGCCCACAAAACAAGCAAGGCAAGAAUGGGAAGCCUUUGCUGCGGAAAAUGAAGGACGGCCGGGUGUUGAAUUGGAGCGUUCAGUCAGAUGAUCCUCUUUGCACCCUUCAAGAAGCAUUCGAGAAGGUCAAUCCAAGAUUGGGCUUCAAUGUCGAGCUGAAAUUCGAUGACAAUCUUGUGUACCAAGAUGAGGAGCUCACUCACAUCCUCCAGGCCAUCCUCAAGGUGGUCUUCGAGUGUGCCAAGGAUAGGCCUAUCAUUUUCUCUAGCUUCCAGCCCGAUGCUGCGCAGCUCAUGCGAAAACUACAGAGCACAUACCCUGUGUACUUCUUGACGAACGGAGGGACAGAAGUCUACGCCGACGUGAGGAGGAACUCGUUGGAGGAGGCGGUCAAGCUGUGCCUCGCCACUGGCAUGCAAGGGAUCGUGUCCGAGGCCCGCGCGGUCUUCAGGUUCCCGACUGCCAUACCGAAGAUCAAGGAGGCUGACCUCUCCCUACUAACUUACGGGACACUCAAUAACGUGCCGGAGGCGGUGUACAUGCAGCACCUGAUGGGGGUGAACGGGGUCAUCGUCGACCUCGUGCCGGAGAUCACGGGGGCCGUCUCGGACCUCAUCGCUGUCCCGGAGAUCGACACGGAGAUCAAUGAUCUGAGCAGCCAAGCUGUGAAAGAUGCCGCGUCGACGCCAAAUUUCACGCAGCGGGAGAUUUCAUUCCUACUGAGGCUGAUGCCGGAGCUUGUGCAAUAACACAGACUGCACCCCAUUGAUGGCUUUGGAUGUAACUGACUGAUUGGCAUACAGGAAGAGGAGCCCCUUGUGGAGGGCAGUACAAGUAUACGUACUGGGUUGGUGUGAUCUCCUUCGGUGAGCCCUGGUCCUAGGAGAAUUGGGGAUUGUUUUAUACAUGUUGUAGCGAGGGGGCAUUGAUUUAUACAUGUUGUAGCGAGGGUGGUGAUUUUUCUGGAUAUACAGUGAAUGUCAUCGUCACAAUGGCGGUGUUAUUACUACGCUAGUACUCCCU